This 92-nucleotide transfer RNA is filed under the name Ercella succinigenes. RNAcentral describes it as "Ser". It matches the Rfam family "tRNA". Rfam says of the family: Transfer RNA (tRNA) molecules are approximately 80 nucleotides in length. Their secondary structure includes four short double-helical elements and three loops (D, anti-codon, and T loops). Further hydrogen bonds mediate the characteristic L-shaped molecular structure. tRNAs have two regions of fundamental functional importance: the anti-codon, which is responsible for specific mRNA codon recognition, and the 3' end, to which the tRNAs corresponding amino acid is attached (by aminoacyl-tRNA synthetases). tRNAs cope with the degeneracy of the genetic code in two manners: having more than one tRNA (with a specific anti-codon) for a particular amino acid; and 'wobble' base-pairing, i.e. permitting non-standard base-pairing at the 3rd anti-codon position. The record is from RNAcentral. Lineage: Bacteria; Bacillati; Bacillota; Clostridia; Eubacteriales; Oscillospiraceae. RNAcentral also lists the same sequence under 5 other names.
GGAGAAGUACCCAAGUGGCUGAAGGGUCUGCACUCGAAAUGCAGUAGACCGGCUAAACCGGUGCGAGGGUUCAAAUCCCUCCUUCUCCGCCA